This 13055-nucleotide long non-coding RNA is filed under the name Panax ginseng (ginseng). RNAcentral describes it as "long non-coding RNA (PGIN_LNC011748)". Lineage: Eukaryota; Viridiplantae; Streptophyta; Magnoliopsida; Apiales; Araliaceae. The record is from RNAcentral.
AGUAAACAUGUGGAGUUUCCAUUUAUAGAAGGAUACUGUGACAGAUAGGGCAAGAAUUAAACAAAGGGAUGUAAGCAUUUAUUUAUCUAACAUAGACAAUUCAGAUAUAAGGACCAAGGAAAAUACAUAUCUGCAGAAAACAUUGAGUAGCCAUAGUUGGUGUCUAAUUAAUUUAAUGUUUUGCAAAAAAAAUCUUUUUAUUUAAGAAAAAAUCAAGAGAGAGAUAGAGACCAGUCAUAUACAGUAAAUAUUACCAUAUAUUUUAAAAGAAUAUGUUUUGAAAAAUAGAGAGAUUAAUUCGAACAUGUCUAAUCAGUAAGAGCAACUCCAGCAGGCCGGAGUUGCCAAAUUCGUAGACUAUAUUUGUGACGCCCCCAAAAUAGGUAUACAUCACCCAUCUUGAGUCGCCAAAUACAUGGUACAAAAAAUACAAAUACAACUUAAUAAUACAACUAUCGUGUAAAAUACGACAAAACAUAAACUGAGAGUUUUAAUAAGAAUAUUGUCAUCUAGACAAUAUCCACACUCAAUCGAGUCCUCAUUACAUUUAUUGUCACACUAUUUAAUAGAAUAGUGAGGACUACUAAUGCUAUCAUCUGGACAGUCACUCCUUUCCCAGACUCGUCCCAGCUAUAUUCUCAUUUCCUGAAGAGAACAGUGAAAGAAAAGGGUAAGCUCAACUAGCCCAGUAAGAAAUAUCGUGACUAAGAUAAUGCAGAAUAAAUUAUCAUUAGUCUUCAACAAUGUUAAACUAAUAAAAUAUAAUAGACAUCAAGUUUAAUUGCAGUGGAACAAGCAAUCCAUUAGAAGAGUCAAGUAGAGAAUAAAAUCUAUUAUCUACUAUCAUUUAAAAAGUUUUCAUCAAUUUUUAUCACUGAAACUCAGCUCAACAAAUAAACCACAUCAUCGAGUCAUCCCUGCACUACGGGCCAAGGAUAUUCAUUAAAUAAUCCAUGGUCAUGACUAUACCGAAUAAUCCCUGGUCAUAAUCAUACCAAAAACUGUCCAUCAAUGCACUACAGGCUACUGAGGACUUUUACCACCUCAUUUAUAACAUUACAGGUCAUGAUUAUACCGAAUGAUCCCUGGUCAUAAUCAUACAAAGUUCAUCUAUGCACGUAAGCCAAAGAUGACUUUUAUCAUAAUAUAAGCAUGACGAUGAUGACAAUGACAUAAUAAUUCAAUAAAACAAGUUCAAGAAUAAAUUUUAAAAAUUUAUAAGUUAAUUUAUCCUGAACUCAAUAAUGUCCAAAUUAUCAACAUGAUACUUCUUUGUGGAGUAAAAAUUCAAGAAUGUUCAGAAAAAUAUUUUCAUUAAAAGAUACUAGAUGAAGCGCAAAUAUCAAAGAUAUUUCACUAAUUUUAUGGAGUAUAGAAGUCAAAGCUUUAACCAACUAAGUAUAAGAGAAUAUAUAAAACUACAAAUGGAUUUUCGGCCGCCACGCGGUACUCCACUUAGACAGAUCAUUUCCAUAAUUUAAUAAGGAGUGAAUACAAAGGUUCAUUCACCAUGCAUGUGAUAAUCCACAUAGACAGGUUAUUCCAACAGAAUGAUAAAGAAUGGAAUAACAGAAGAAAUAAUCAUGCAUGCGAUAAACCGCACAGACAGGUUAUUCCAACAUAAUAAUAAAGAAUGAAACUAGGUCAUGCGUAAACAUACUGACAGGAUAUUCCGACAGAAUAAUAAAUAAUGGAACCAGGUCCGGCGUAAACGCACAGACAGGAUAUUUCGACAGAAUAAUAAAUGAUGGAACUAGGUCCGGCGUAAACGCACAGACAGGAUAUUUCGACAGAGUAAUAAAGAACGGAAUAAUAGAAGAAUUUCACCAUGUAUACGGUACUUCGCAUAAACAGGUUAUUCCAACAUAAUAAUGAAGAAUGGAAUAACAGAAUAAUUUCACCAUGUAUGCGGUACUUUGCAUAAAUAGGUUAUUCCAACAGAAUAAUAUGGGAUGGAAUAACAAUAGCUCUCUUCAUGAAUACGAAAGAAAUAAUACCCCUUACCUCAGAAGAAACUGGAUACUGGAAUAGUGACGUAGCAGGCUUCUCUUCUUCUUUCUCUUUAUAGAUUUUCCCUCUAUAGCUUCUCUCUAUAAUUUCUCUCUAUAAUAAUUGUUCUAUAGCUUUAGUGAAUUGGAGAGAAAUGAAGGAAGAAUGAGCUUCUAUUUAUAGAAAAAUAUAGUUUUGAUAAUUGCACGUUUUGGGGCUCGAAAAAUUACAGUACAAUACCUCCAACUUUUCUUUCAUUUUUAAUUUAGUCCUGCAAGUAUUAUCAAACUUGCACCACCUCCCCUAAUAGUAAAUAAUGUGAAUCAAUAGUUCAAUUAUGUUAAUCAAUAGUUAUAAUCAUGUGAAAAUACGAAUUACGGUAUAGUACCUCCAUCUAUACUUCCAUCUUUAAUUUAAUCAUGCAAGAAUUAUCAAUCUUGCACCAAUUCCCCUAAUAGUAUAAGAAUGUGAUUCAAUAGUACACACAUGUGAACAAAUAGUUAUAUAAGCAUGUGAAUUAGUAGCAAUUAAUUGAUCAUUUAUCCGAUAAAUUCCCUGAUUUAUCAAUAUAACCCCCAGACAUCAAUUAUCAUCUGAAUAGAUGUCGAUUACCACUAACAUUAAUAAUCCCAACACAAUGGAACUAUCAAAUUCAUCUUUAAUCAAUAUGAAAUUAUUCAUCAUUAAUAUUAUAACUCAUAAUAUUUAACAACCAGGUCGUUCUCAGGAAAGAGGGGGCUUUCCAAUAAGGAUUUCUCCCUAUUGGCGCGCAAUUAGGUGACCAAACCUCUCCUUGGCAGAAGUUCUAGACAUUAUAAAUAUUACAAUUUAAUAAUAUGAAUAACUUUAUCGUCUCAAUUAUUGAUUUAAUAAUAUAUCAUAUAGUGCAGAUGAUACUGUGACAAUAAUCGAAUCAAUAAUAUGAGAGAUAUGAUGCAAUAAUUACUGUAGCAAUAAUUAAGUAUAACUGAGUGACUUCUCACGUAAGCAUCAAUAACCAAUACCGUGUGCUACUAUGCAACCACGCGUAUUACUAUACUUUUACUACCGUGUAGUUCAACAGUUUUAACGAUAACACUUUCGCCUUUAUUUUUAUAACAAGAUAAUUCUGUCAUUUUCUUACUACGACAAUACUUCCGUUGUGGGGUCCACCAAUGAUUGUGCCGUCGUAUGAAUAUUCCCUGUUAAAACGAAUAUUCCCCGACCAAUCGAAUAUUAUAUAACCACUUGAUUACUUUGCAAAAUUUGUAAAUAUUACCCACAACUAUAACAUUAUAUAAUAUUCACACCAUAAUAUUCAAAAAUAUGUUUCGAGAGAAAUUAAUCUUUAUUCAUAAAAGUUGGGGUCUUACAACCUCCCCUUCUUAUGAAAUUUCGUCCUCGAAAUUAGGGUGUGUACCUGGUAUAUCGAAGAGGUGAGGAUAUCUUGACUUCAUCUCAGAUUCUAACUCCUAGGUCAUUUCUUCCACAUCGUGAUUUCUCCACAAAACUUUGACUUGAGGUAUAACCUUGGAGCAUAGAAUAUGAUCCUUCUUUUCCAAGAUUUUAACAAGUAACUCUUCAUACGUUAAAUCUUCCUCUAUCUCGUCUGGUUCUAAUUCAAUAAUGUGAUUCGGGUCUUUCACAUAUUUACGUAACAUAGAUAUGUGGAAAACGUUAUGAACAUGAGACAUACUUGGCGGUAAGGCGAGUCUAUAGGCCACAGUUCCUACUCGUUCGAGUAUUAUAAAUGGGCCAAUGAAUCGAGGAUUGAGUUUUUCUCUCUUUCCAAAUCUUGUAACUCCUUUCCAUGGAGCAACACGUAACAACACAUGAUCUCCAAUAUUGAAUUCCACGUCCUUUCGAUAAAGAUCAGCAUAACUCUUUUGUCGAUCUUGUGAGGUUUUUAUACGUUGUCGGAUUGUUUGAAUCUUUUCCGUAGUCAUACGUACCAAAUCCGGUCCCAACAACAUUGCUUCACCCACCUCAUCCCAACAUACUGGAGAACGACACUUUCUUCCAUAUAACGCCUCAAAUGGAGCCAUGCCAAUACUUGCUUGAUAACUAUUGUUGUAGGAAAACUCCACCAAUGGUAAGAACUUAUUCCAACUUCCCUUGAAGUCAAGGACACAUAGUCUUAAUAAAUCCUCAAGAGUUUGAAUAGUCCUCUCUGAUUGUCCGUCCGUUUGAGGAUGAUACGCCGAACUAAAUCGUAAAUUCGUGCCCAUAGCUUUUUGCAAACUAACCCAAAAUCUUGAAGUGAAUCUUGGGUCUCGAUCAGAAACUAUGGAUACUGGCAUACCAUGCAGUCUUACAAUCUCGUUUAUGUAUAUACGAGCAAGACGUUCAAAUGUAUAAGUUUCUCGUAUCGGUAAGAAAUGAGCAGACUUGGUCAAUCUAUCAACAAUGACCCAAAUCGCAUCUAUGCCUUGAGAAACCUUGGGAAGACCAGUAACGAAAUCCAUGGUAAUGUGCUCCCACUUCCAUUUUCAAGUGGUUGCAAUGGACCUUUUGGCACUUGAUGCUCCGCCUUGACUCGUUGACAAGUUAGACACCUUGAGAUAAACAGCGUUAUCUCUCUCUUCAUAUUGCUCCACCUAAAUGUAUGUCGAAGAUCACGAUACAUUUUGGUACUCCUAGGAUGGAUUGCAAACGGUGUGUUGUGCGCCUCCAUCAUGAUUUUAUACUUCAAAUCAGAAUCGUUAGGAACACAAAGUCUGGAGUUGACUCGAAGUAUUCCUUCUUCAUCGAUUCUUGCUUCCGGAAUAGCACCUUCUUGUACUUUUUUUCUCAUACGUAUCAGCUCUAGGUCUGUAGCUUGAGCAGCUUUAUCUUUAUCGAUUAAAGUUGGUUCCACUCGUAUAUUCGCCAUCAUCACAUGGGUCCCUGGAGUCUUUAACUCUAUUUCCAUCCUUUCCAAGUCAUACACAAUGGGCCUUUGCAUUGACAAUAAUUCACUCGUGCCCGCAUAUGAUCUUCUACUCAAUGCGUCAGCUACUACGUUCGUUUUUCCAGGAUGGUAUUGGAUGGUAUGAUCAUAAUCUUUCAACAACUCAAGUCAUCAUCGUUGUCGCAUGUUGAGUUCCUUUUGAGUGAAGAAAAUAUUUGAGGCUUUUAUGAUCCGUAUAGAUCUCCACCUUCUUUCCAUACAGGUAAUGCCUCCAAAUCUUAAGUGCGAAGACAACAGCUGCCAACUCUAGAUCAUGAGUAGGAUAAUUCUUCUUAUAUUCUUUGUCGUGAGGCAUAAGGUAUGACUUUCCCAUGUUUCAUGAGAACACAUCCUAACCCUUUACCUGAAACAUCACUGUAAAUGACAAAUCCCUCUGUGCUAGAUGGUAUUGUCAGAACAGGUACUGAAAUGAGUCUCCUCUUGAGUUCUUAAAAACUCUUCUCACAUUCCUCGCUCCAACUGAAUUUUGUAUCUUUUCGAGUCAGCUGCAUUAAUAGAGUAGCAAUUCAAGAAAACCCUUCUACGAAUCUCUGAUAAUAACCAGCUAAGCCGAGAAAGCUACGUACUUCAGUUACUUCAAUUACUGACUUAGGUUGCUCCCAACUUUGAAUUGCUUCAAUCUUUGCCAGGUCAACAAAUAUUCCAUGAUUUGAUAAUACGUGCCCAAGGAAUGCUACUUCCUCAAGCCAGAACUCGCAUUUCUUCAACUUGGCAUAUACCUUGUUUUCACGAAGCUUUUUAAGUAUCAGCCUCAAGUGUUGCUCAUGGUCUUCACGGGUUUUGGAAUAAAUGAGGAUGUCAUCAAUAAAGACGACCACAAAGUGAUCCAAAUAUUCCUUGAAUACUCGGUUCAUCAUAUCCAUGAAGGCAGCAGGAGCAUUAGUCAAUCCAAAAGACAUGACUAUGAAUUUAUAAUGCCCAUACCGAGUUCUGAAAGCAGUCUUUGGAAUGUCAUCAGUUUUAAUCUUCAACUGAUGAUAUUCAGAACGAAGAUCAAUAUUUGAAAAGAAUUUGGCGCCUUGCAACUGGUCAAACAGAUCAUCAAUACGAGGUAACGGGUACCUAUUUUUUAUGGUGAUAUAAUUCAACUCCCGAUAAUCAAUACAAAGUCGCAUACUUCCAUCUUUCUUCUUCACGAAUAGGACAGGAGCACCCCAAGGAGACGUACUAGGACGAAUGAAACCGAUGUCUAACAAUUCCUGUAGUUAGGUUUUUAACUCCUGAAGUUCAAUAGGAGUCAUUCGAUAUGGGGCUUUGAAAAUGGGUUUUGUACCGGUUUCAAGAUCGAUACAAAAUUCAAUUUCACGCUCUGGGGGUAGGCCAGGAAGUUCUUCAGGGAAUACGUCAGGAAAUUUAUUAACAAUAGAAAUAUCAUUCAAAUCUGACGUAUUUUUAUUUAAAUCCGUGACAUGGGCUAAGAAAGCUUGACAUCCGUUUUUCAAUAAACGAAUAGCUUUAUGGCUUGAUAUGACAGUGAUUGAUUUUAGUGGUUUGGCUGCUUGAAUUCGUAUAAUAGGUUGGUUAGGAAUAUGAAAGCUAACAACCUUACGAAAACAAUCGAUUUUAGCAUGAUGAAUAGUUAACCAAUCAAUCCCUAAAAUCACAUCAAAUGCAAGUAUUUUCAAAGAAAUAAGAUUGACAGAUAACGUGCGGUUACCGAUUUGAAUCAAACAAGACUUAUAAACAGUGGAUGUAAUGAAGGUUUCUCCCAACGGAGUUUCAACUGAUAAGUCAAGGUCUAAUUUCUCCGGAGUCAAAUUUAAACGUUGAGCGCAAGUAGGAGAAAUGAAAAAAUAGGUAGAACUAGUAUCAAAUAAAGUAUAAAUUUCGCUAGACUUUAUGAUUAACUUACCUGUGAUCACCUCGUUCGGAUUCCUCACUUUUUGGGAGGUCACGACAAACGCUCUUCCUUGAACUACCGAUUUUGUCUUGUCUGGGACCCCCUUUGAUGCCUCCAUCCCAGCUGGACUUGACUUUGGUACACGGCAAAAUCGGGCUAGGUAGCCUUCUUUUCCACAAUUAUAACAUGCUUUGGACUACAUCGUGCAGUUUGGACUUAUGUGUCCUUCCCCUCCACAUUUGUAACAUACGACCGGCGGUCGUUCUUCUUCCUUAACAGCGAGUGCUGGUGCUGACGUCUUUCAAUCUUUGCUGAACCUUCUCUUCUUGAACUUUCCACUCCUAUUGUCAUGGCAAUGAUUACCACCGAAGUGGUUAUCACUUCUGGCAAGUUGAUUCCCUCUGCGUUAUUCAUUGAAUCAUCCAUGGUCAUAACUAUACCGAAUAAUACCUGGUCAUAAUCAUACCAAAAAUUGUCCGUCAAUGCACUACAGGCUACUAAGGACUUUUACCACCUCAUUUAUAACAUUACAGGUCAUGAUUAUACCGAAUGAUCUCUAGUCAUAAUCAUACAAAGUCCAUCUAUGCACUUAAGCCAAAGAUAACUUUUAUCACAAUAUAAGCAUGAGGAUGAUGACAAUGACAUAAUAAUUCAAUAAAACAAGUUCAAGAAUAAAUUUUAAAGAUUUAUAAGUUAAUUUAGCAUGAACUCAAUAAUAUUCAAAUUGUCAACAUGAUACUUUUUUGUGGAGUAAAAAUUCAAGAAUGUUCAGAAGAAUAUUUUCAUUAAAAGAUACUGAAUGAAGUGCAAAUAUCAAAGAUAUUCCACUAAUUUCAUGGAGUAUAGAAGUUAAAGCUUUAACCAACUAAGUAUAAGAGAAUAUAUGAAACUACAAAUGGAUUUUCGGCCGCCACGCGGUACUCCACUUAGACUGAUCAUUUUCAUAAUUUAAUAAGGAAUGAAUACAAAGGUUCAUUCACCAUGCAUGUGAUAAUCCACAUAGACAGGUUAUUCCAACAGAAUGAUAAAUAAUGGAAUAACAGAAGAAAUCAUUAUGCAUGCGAUAGACCGCACAGACAGGUUAUUCCGACAGAAUAAUAAAUAAUGGAACCAGGUCCGGCGUAAACGCACAGACAGGAUAUUCCGACAGAAUAAUAAAUGAUGGAACCAGGUCCGGCGUAAACGCACAGACAGGAUAUUCCGACAGAAUAAUAAAUGAUGGAACCAGGUCCGGCGUAAACGCACAGACAGGAUAUUCCGACAGAGUAAUAAAGAACGGAAUAAUAUAAAAAUUUCACCAUGUAUACGGUACUUCGUAUAAACAGGUUAUUACAACAUAAUAAUAAAUAAUGGAAUAACAGAAGAAUUUCAUCAGAUUAUUCAAUAAGGAUUUCUACCUAUUGGCGCGCAAUUAGGUGACCAACCUCUCCUUGGCAGAACUUCUAGACAUUAUAAAUAUUAUAAUUUAAUAAUAUGAAUAACUUUGUCGUCUCAAUUAUUGAUUUAAUAAUAUAUCAUAUAAUGCAGAUGAUACUGUGACAAUAAUCGAAUCAAUAAUAUGAGAGAUAUGAUGCAACAAUUACUGUAGCAAUAAUUGAAUAUAACUGAGUGACUUCUCAUGUAAGCAUCAAUAACCAAUACCGUGUGCUACUAUAUAACCACGCGUAUAACUGUACUUUUACUACCGGAUAGUUCAACAGUUUUAACAGUAACACUUUCGCCGUUAUUUUUAUAACACGAUAAUUCUAUCGUUUUCUUACUACGAUAAUACUUCCGUUGUGGAGUCCACCAAUGAUUGUGCCGUCGUACGAAUAUUCCCUGUUAAAACGAAUAUUCUCCGACCAAUCGAAUAUUAUAUAACCACUUGCUUACUUUGUAAAAUUUAUAAAUAUUACCCAAAACUAUAACAUUAUAUCAUAUCCACACCAUAAUAUUCAAAAAUAUAUUUUGAGAGAAAUUAAUUUUUAUUCAUAAAAGUUGGGGUCUUACAAUAUUUAGUCUAGGACGCCAAAAUCGCUCCAGCAGAUGGACUAUAUUUAGUCGAUCAACUUUUUCGGCCGCUCAAAACGACCAAAUCUGCGAACGAAAAAUCAGCCAGACUAUAAUUUAAUAUAAUUAAAUGGAAAACUCUCUGUUAAAGAAAUUGAAGAAAAAAAAUAAGAAAAACUCUGUUGAAGAAGAUCUGUCGAAGAAGAAGGAGAUGAAGUGAGAGAACUGAAAGUGAAGUGAAGAAGAGAUGAACGGUAAUAAAGUACAAUCCAACGGAUAGAAAAAAAAAAUUCAGAACGGUAAUAAAGAGUACAAACGGAUAGAAAUUGAAAGCCUAAUUGGAAAUCUAUAAAUAUGUAUAAUAAUUCAAUUUAUUUUAUAUCUUUCAAUCAACUACUCCAACAUUUAGCAAUUGUAAGUAUUUUAUUAAUAAUAGUUUAUAUUUUUAUUAUAUUUGAUUUUUGUUUUUUAUUGAUAAUAUCUCUUUAAUUUAUUUUUUAGAUAAAAAAUUAUGAUCCUCCGAUGUAUUAUUCUUCAUUAUUAUCUGAAGGUUUCUCACUUGAUGAUCCAAAUUUGUUGGAUGAAUUUUCAAUUCAAAUUGAUGUACCAAUUCAGACUCCCAAAAAUGAGUCCAAUAAAAGAACAGGGCAAAAGAGAAAUUACACAAUUGAAGAAGAUGCUCUUCUUGUUUUCGAAUGGCUUAAUGUAAGUAUGGAUCCAAUUCAAGGAAACGAUCAAAAACAUGAAAGAUAUUGGGAAAGAGUUCACAAAUACAAAAAUUUUGAAUCUAAACGUAAUUCUACUGCUUUGGCGAAACGUUGGUCAACAAUUCAACUCGUGGUGAACAAAUUUUAUGGAUAUUAUGCUUCAAUUGAAAGAAUGCAACAAAGCGGUGUAAGCGAACAAGAUAAGGUAUUUCAAUUUUUUCAUAUAAAAUUUCAUUAAGUUUUAUUCUUAUAUUUUAUAUUUAAUACUUUGUAAAUAAUUUUUCAAUAGAUAUGUCAAGCAUUAGAGAUGUUCAAAAGUAUGCAAAAUCAACCAUUUGAAUUUAUGCAUUGUUGGAGAAUAUUAAAAGAUGCACCGAAAUAGAGAACAGAUAAUAGUAGAAAAAAAUAGAAAAAUAAUAGAAAGUCAAGUCCAACAGCAUCUUCUCCAUCAACUACAGAAGAAGUCAGUUUGGGUAAAGACGAUGGUAUUGAAGAUACAAUCUCUGCAAGAUUAGAGAGACCAAUAGGAAAAAAGGCUUCAAAAGCAUUAUUUAAAAAGGGCAAAGAAAUCGGUGAUACUAGUACACCUAUGGAGUUGAUGUUUGAGAAGUUCGAGCAUCAGAUUAAAUUGAACCAACAAAAGAGACAAGAGAACAUGGACAGAAUAUAUUUUCAAGAGCAAGAGAAGUUGAAUAUACUAAAAGCACAAGAAAAUGAAAGGAUCAUGAUGAUUGACACUGCUAACAUGGAGCUUAAAGUAGCUAAAUAUUACAAACAACGUAAGAAAGAAAUCAUGAAAAGAGUUACAUCUAAUAAUUGACUGGCUUAUUAUUGUAGUAGAAUAUAAUAGAGCCUGAAGUAGCUUAAUUUCCUUAUUAUUGUAGUAGAAUGUAAUGGAUUAGGCUCGGCCAUGUAGUGACCACAAGUGUUGAAUAAUAUCUUCUUGCAGUUUAGAAUGAACUUGUUUAUCCCUUAUGAAAGUAAUUGUGGGGUACGCUCAUGAGACACUUCUACAGUUGAAAUCUCGUCAUGUGUAUCGUAGGUUGUUGGUUCUUGAUUUUCAUCUCGUUCAUCUUCAACUAUCAUAUUAUGUAAUAUUAUGCAUACAGUCAUAAUUUCUUUUAGUGUUGUUUAAUCCCAAAAUCGUGCAGGACCACGAACUAUCACAAAACGUGCUUGCAGUACCCCAAAUGCUCGCUCAACAUCCUUUCUAAGCGCCUCUUGAGUCUUAGCAAAUAGUUUUCUUUUAUUUCCCUAAAGUGCCAAAAUGAUUUUAACAAAUAUUGUCCAUGGGGAAUAUAUACCAUCAACAAGAUAAUAUCCCAUCGUGUACUCAUUUUCAUUAAUUGAGUAGCUCACUGGUGGAGCACGACCUUCAGUAAGAGCAGAAAAGAUAGAUGAUCUCUCCAAAACGUUAAUAUCAUUAUGAGAGCUUGGUAAUCCAAAAAAUGCAUGUCAUAUCCAAAGAUCGUAUGAAACCACCGCUUCUAAAAUAAUUGUUGGCUCGUGCACAUAUCCAAAAUACAUAUCAUGCCAUGCAACUAGACAAUUCUUCCAUUUCUAAUGCAUACAAUCGAUGCUCCCCAACAUCCUAAGAAAACCACGCUCUUCAACUUUUGAUAGCAAUCUAACGAUGUCAUUACUAUUGGGUAAUCUCAAAUAUUCAUCACCAAAAAUUGAAAUGAAUGCUUUUACAAACCUUUUAAGACUCAAUAUAGCCAUGCUUUCACUGAUUCGCACAUAAUCAACGGAAUCCGCUGAAACACCAUAGGCAAACAUCCGUAUUGAGACAGUUAUCUUUUGUAGAGAAGAUAAACCGAGAUGUCCUGCAGCAUUCAUUUUUAGUACGAAAUAUGAAUUAUACGCUUCAACUGCUCUUUGAAUUCAGAAGAAAAACAGACACCACAUUCUAAACCUUCUCCAAAAUAGAUACCGAGGAGGGGGGUAUGUAGAAUUUUCUACAAAAUAAUCACAAAAAAAUCGAUUAUGACCUUCAUGUCUACCACGAUCAAUGAUAAUACAACCUUACACAGAACCACGAUGACGUAAUGUAUACCUAUUGACAUUUUUUUUUUCUUCUACAAUAACCAACAUGCCUAAUAAUUGUCCAUAUACUUUUUCAUCUUCUUCUUCAUCCACGUGCAACAUAACUAAUUCAAAUUAACAAGACAUUUAAAAUAACUUAUUUGACUGAAAAAAUAAAAUUAAAAUGAAUAAAUAUGAAAGAUUAGAUGCGACAUAUAUUUUAUAAAUACUAUUUAUUUAUUAAAAUAUAACCAUUAUAAUAUGACCGUUAAAAUAUGACCAUUAAAAUAUAGUCGUUGAAUUAUGCCCGUCAAAAUUUUUUUGAAUUAAUUGAUUAUUUUAAUUAUUUUAUAUUAUAAUCGACGAGAUAAUCCACAAGAUAGUCCAUCUGUUAAAAAAGAGCGAAGACUAAAAAACAUUUGCUAAUAUCAGAUAGACUAAAUAUAGUCCAGCAGAUCUAUCUAUUGGAGAUGCUCUAAACAGAAAUAGAUCAUAACUACAGUGAAGUUUAUCGGAUAUGCUUAGAUAUGGAGUAUGCAAGAAUUUAUGACAUCUAAUGUACUCAGAAAAAGGAUUUAACUAGCACAACUUUGCAGAAUUGUAACCCAACUCAGCGGCUUUAUCAUAAAAGUUUUGACAAAAAAAUAACCCACAACAGUUUAAAAUGAUAAUUGAGAAGAAAUAAAUGUCUAGCAUAGGAAGUUUUGAACUAUCAGCUCCAGCCAAAAACCAAAUAUAACUCAACACAUACAAGCAGUGAGUAAUCAAUCUUACUCAUGACAAAAAAUGAGAAGUGAUUUCAGCCAGUCCCAACACAAUAAACAAAGUAUACCAUUUAUGGACAGAAUAGAUGAGAUAGAGAAUAUACCUGAAAGAACAAUAUACAUUUAAAUAUACAUACAGAUUUUAAACAAUGUAUAGAUAUGCAUGUACAAAUACUUUAAUUACUUAAAAUACAUUCGUGUUUAAAAAAAACUGUAGAUAAGAAAUUUGUUGUUUUUGAAAGAAAUUUUAAUAUACUCUAAAAAAAUUACAAAUCUAGUCACGAAAAUUAGGAUUUAAACAGUUGUCACAAUCGUUGUUAAAAAAAUGAUUUGUUAGAUUAGAACUCAGAUCUUGAGCACUAAAUCUAACUAAAUUUGUUUAUCUGAAAACUCAUUUAAUCAAAAUGAACAACGAAACUUAACAGAUGAGAACGUUAAGAGUUUUCAGAUCUACAAACUUAGGGUUUUCCCCUUUUUAAAAAAAAAAUUGACACAAAUUAACACCAAAUACUGGUUUUUGAAAAAUAGAUUUUGAGAUAUAAAACUAUCCAUACUUAUUAAAAAAAAAAUCAGAGAAAGCCAACGGACAAAAAUGAACUGCAGAGAAAAACAAAAAGUAGAAUCAAACAAAUAAUUAGUAGAAGUAUGAUUUUGAGGGUGAUGAAUCGAUUGAUAGGAGCAGAUUAAUCGAAAUUGAAAUAAAAAUCAAGGACUUUUUACAGAGAACAGGGUUAGGGUUGAGAGAAUUUUGGGGAGAGAGAAAUGAGAUCCGGAAGAUAACAGAGAAGAGGAAGAGAAAUGAAAUUAAAAAU